CUUCAUCAUCACACAAACCAAAAGAACAACAAUGACUUUCAUCAUCAUCUUCAUCUGGACACUCACAGUCUUUACUCAAGUGUGUAGAGGACAGUACACUGUUACUCAGAGUCCAUCAAUAACAGCAGUUCAACCAGGACAACAAGUUCAAAUAAACUGUGAAGUCAGCAGUAGAGUGUCUAGUGGUAAUCGUUUAGCCUGGUACUUACAGAAACCUGGAGAAGCUCCUAAACUCCUCAUAUAUUAUGCAACAACCCUCUACACAGGAACUCCAUCAAGAUUCAGUGGCAGCGGAUCAAACACAGAUUUCACUUUGACCAUCAGUGGAGUUCAGACUGAAGAUUCAGGAGAUUAUUACUGUCAGAGUUAUCACAGUGGUGUUGUGUUGACACAGUGAUAAAGAGUGAUACAAAAACCUCUGUCAGUCAGACUCACAGUGACUGAACUCAUACACCUGACAGAUACUGCAGAUGAUGAUGCUGAUAGUUUAUUUAACUUACAGAUUAUUUAUUUUGAACUAUAGUUUAUUUAAAUGACAACUUUAUAGACAAUUAUACAGGUAAUAGAUUAUUUUUGUAAGUUUAAAAAUUGUAUCAUUGAUUUAUUGUCUGUCUAUUAAUGUCUGCUGUGUUAAAGCAGCAUGAUUUUUAUUAUUAUUGUACUACAGUUUAAUUCACAAUAUAAAAAACGAAUGAUAAUCACUCAUAUAGGGACACGUCAGUAAGAAUCAUUGACCACAUUUACUUGAACUCUC
Non-coding RNA from Paramisgurnus dabryanus, 754 nucleotides. NCBI's taxonomy places the organism in Eukaryota, Metazoa, Chordata, Actinopteri, Cypriniformes, Cobitidae. The record is from the annotation of a RefSeq genome assembly.